Molecule: ribosomal RNA, 499 nt
Filed under: uncultured bacterium
Lineage: Bacteria
Description: bacterial SSU rRNA
Rfam family: Bacterial small subunit ribosomal RNA
Source: RNAcentral
GAUGAACGCUAGCGGCAGGCUUAACACAUGCAAGUCGAGGGGUAGAGGAAGCUUGCUUCCUUGAGACCGGCGCACGGGUGCGUAACGCGUAUACAAUCUACCUUUUACAGAGGGAUAGCCCAGAGAAAUUUGGAUUAAUACCUCAUAGUAUUUUCGAAUCGCAUGGUUUGAUUAUUAAAGUUCCAACGGUAAAAGAUGAGUAUGCGUCCCAUUAGCUAGAUGGUAAGGUAACGGCUUACCAUGGCAAUGAUGGGUAGGGGUCCUGAGAGGGAGAUCCCCCACACUGGUACUGAGACACGGACCAGACUCCUACGGGAGGCAGCAGUGAGGAAUAUUGGUCAAUGGGCGCAAGCCUGAACCAGCCAUGCCGCGUGCAGGAAGACGGUCCUAUGGAUUGAAACUGCUUUUAUACAGGAAGAAACCCUCCCAGUGUGGGAGCUUGACGGUACUGUAGGAAUAAAGGAUCGGCUAAACUCCGUGCCAGCAGCCGCGUAAAGUG